Long non-coding RNA from Oreochromis aureus, 1081 nucleotides. RefSeq lists it as uncharacterized. Lineage: Eukaryota; Metazoa; Chordata; Actinopteri; Cichliformes; Cichlidae. The record is from RefSeq and is a predicted model, not a curated record. The transcript is spliced from 3 exons.
UAUAAGUCAGCAGAAGAAACGGGCAAAGAGAUCAGUUUCUGACUGUAAGUGGUCUCUUUGUGUCUCUGCUUCUGUUUAUUUUUUGUUUUUUCGUGACUCCUAUUAUUAAAAAAGGAACAGUUAAUGUUCUGGAAGGUUCACAGCACAGGCAGCUCAAAUCAUCACAAUACUCAGUAUUUGAUUUGUUGAAUAAUAAAUCAUUAAAUUUUUUAGCUGCUGGUUUUGUUUCAGUAUCCUCAGUCAAAACAAAACACCAGUGUACGCGUCAGGUCAUCCACCCUUCUGAAGUCCCCCUGUUUUAUUUUCUCCCAUGUGGACCAAAGUGUAUUUUAACAGAAAAACUGUAAUACAUCUAUGAAUGUAUGGUGGUGCGAUCAAAACAAACACACAGUCAAAUGUUUUAGUGGCAUGAUUACAUAUAUAGUUGAUGCAAGGAUACAAAUAUGCAGACAAAUUAGUGUGAGUGAAAAAGACCUUUCUGCUCUAAGUGAAACACUGCCAUCACUCUGGGUGCCGACAUUUUCCCGUAGUUUCUGGAUCCUGACUCCUUCUUGAACAAUCCAACCAAUUCAAACUUACAGCUGAGUCUAGAGAAACAAUACAACUGAGAUUUCACACCUACUGAAAUUUAGCUACCACGGCAGUAAUUAACAGUAAUUACAUUGUUUUAAUUACAAUCCUCUUGUCCAACGUACAGAAUCAGUCAUUUGGAUCGGGAUGAAGACCUGAAACGGACAGGGUAGAGCUUCGUUCAGUUGAGACGACCAACAAGAGACGGGGAGGAGGCGCGUGCUUCUAUGUCAACAAAAGCUUGAGUCUGACUGCGUCAGAUCCCGGGGUCGUUAUCAGGACCUCACCUUGGCAGUGGAGUUUGCUCGGCUCAUUUUGGGUGAGACUGCAGGUUGAGGCAACGCGCCGCUGAUCCACGUCAACAUGCCGCUCUGAGACCCAGCUGUCGGGCUGAGGAUGUAAACGUUUAAAAUCAGGCUUUUUAUUCAUUCUCAGCUACGCAGCAUCCAUGGAGGUGUCAGUGGUCAACGUGUUGGGCGUCUCUUGUCUUACCUGAGUUGCUCAGUUGGGG